This 484-nucleotide ribosomal RNA is filed under the name uncultured bacterium. RNAcentral's name for it is "partial 16S ribosomal RNA". It matches the Rfam family "Bacterial small subunit ribosomal RNA", at positions 30 to 507 of the family's 1533-position model. The record is from RNAcentral.
AUUGAACGCUAGCGGGAUGCUUUACACAUGCAAGUCGAACGGCAGCGCGGACUUCGGUCUGGCGGCGAGUGGCGAACGGGUGAGUAAUGUAUCGGAACGUGCCCAGUAGCGGGGGAUAACUACGCGAAAGCGUAGCUAAUACCGCAUACGCCCUACGGGGGAAAGCCGGGGAUCGUAAGACCUUGCCCUAUUGGAGCGGCCGAUAUCGGAUUAGCUAGUUGGUGAGGUAACGGCUCACCAAGGCGACGAUCCGUAGCUGGUUUGAGAGGACGACCAGCCACACUGGGACUGAGACACGGCCCAGACUCCUACGGGAGGCAGCAGUGGGGAAUUUUGGACAAUGGGGGCAACCCUGAUCCAGCCAUCCCGCGUGUGCGAUGAAGGCCUUCGGGUUGUAAAGCACUUUUGGCAGGAAAGAAACGUCGCGGGCUAAUACCCCGUGGAACUGACGGUACCUGCAGAAUAAGCACCGGCUAACUACGUG